This is a non-coding RNA of Rattus norvegicus (Norway rat), 5785 nucleotides long. The record is from RefSeq and is a predicted model, not a curated record. Lineage: Eukaryota; Metazoa; Chordata; Mammalia; Rodentia; Muridae.
AAGGAAAAGUGCCUGCUCUUCCCUGUUCAUAGCACCUCAAACUUUUCUUUUUCCUGUAUGCAGAUACAAGGGAUGUUUAGAGAAUAGCAUGUCUUAACCUGCAGUUUGGGAUAAAAAGCCAUCGUGAAGAGUUGAAGGAAGCAGAGGUGACCAUAAGCUAGUGCUUUGAUGAGUCUCAAAGGCUAGUAGUAAAUUUAUAUCGACAACCCAGAAGAGUUUUUUCAGGGAACCCUGUGGUUAAAGACUAUCCUAGGGAAGAGACAAGUUCAGCAGAUGUCCAAGACUUUCGGACACAGUCCACACAGCCAUCGACAGAACCAUGAGGCAUCCCCAGCCUGCAGCCGUGGGCUUUCUUCUAAGUGGGUAACAGAGGGCGUUGACAGUGUGGAUUAUCAGACAAAGACUUCCUUGAGGAUCUUCACAAUCACAAUACCAAAAAAAAAAAAAUUCACUUGGUCUAGAUCACCAGGGAGACGAGACAUCCCCUGUGAUCAUUUAAUCUACGGGGAAGAAGAGGUUGCUCUGGGAUACGGUGCGAAGGUCCUUUAAAAAUCCUAUUAUGGACUCACUUCCUACCAUCCCUUGACCAUGACUGUGUACUCUGACAAUGUCAUGACACCAUUUUUUUUUUGACGGAAUGUCAAAAACAUUUUACUUGUCUGUGGCUUCUUGGAAAUCCUGAGUGCUUUUGUAACUCCAAAGGGGCCGGGGGAAUCCAUACAAUAAGCUUCAUUCUUUCAUUUAAAUGACUUUCAGGGGCUAUUAUUACCUGUACACUUAGAUCUGAGCCCCUUUGCUUCAGUUACUUACACACCUUUACAGAAUACUUCAUCUCCAAGCUCGGCCAUGGCUGCCUCUUUUGGCCUUACAUUCUGUACAACUAGCUAAAUGCUUUGUCUUUUUGGCCAGCUAGGCAGGUUAGAAGUGGGCUGAACGCCGAAACAUUCUUACUCCUUUUUAGUUCUGCUUAAGAGAGAUUACUGAAGCCCUGGACCUGUAAAAAACAAAGUGCGUUUUGGGUUUUCUUUUCUUUCUAUUGAUGAAAUGGAGGAGAAAGUGUCUCCUUUUGUUAUAAGACCACCCCGCCAAAGUCCGAGAAGUACAAGCAGAUAAAAAAAAAAACUGUUUCUAUUUUUAGAAUUUAAUACAAAAUCAUGUUCUUCUGUCAUACAGAAAAUUUGUCAUAGAUUUUUAUCUGCAAUAAAAGUGAUGUCAAGGGUGCCACAUAACACAUUUGUAAAGGUUAGAGAUAUUUUAACCUUCAUCUGUGACCAGAAUUACAAUGGUCAGUGAACUGCUGGACCAUUUCCAGCUGAUUGUUAAGCGUGGGGAAAAAAAAAAGAAAAAAAAAGUUGCUGACAUUAAUGUGAAACAGCGUCAGAUUCCAAGCACUGUAGAGUGGUCAGGUCAUUUUGAAUAAUGUCCUUGAAAUUACAGAUUUAUUACACGAGUAAAAAUAUGUGGUUACAAAUUCCACGGCUCUCCUGGCCUUGUAGUGGAUUUGUAUUUUUAGAGUCCAGUGGGAUUACAGUAUUUUGGUGGUUAAACUCUGGCAAAGCCUGUGAGAGCAUAACAACCACAUUAUUUCAAUGGCUUCUUUCCUGAAAUGACCAUUGUUACAGACGGAGAACAGUGAGCAGGAUUCUUAGAAAUGCUGCACGGACUUCUCUAGGAGUCAUGGAGCACUGCUGUUAAUUCCGGCGAUUGACUGUCUACAAGAUUGAGAACAAGCCCUUGUAAGUCAAACGGAACGCUCUUGGAACACUGAAGUCCGCUCUUUCCUAUAACCCUGGACUAUUUCUGGCUUUCUUCUUUCUUGUACUGUCUCUGGCCACAAUCCGCAUUGUCCUUUAGUCACCUCUGCUCUCUCCGUUUUAGAAGCUGGUCCUCCGUUGUUCCCACUUCUCAUCUCACCCCACUUACUGCCUGAGCCCUUGCAAGGCAGAGACCCAAGUCAUACUCGGUAUUGGCUAAUAAGAAGCUGCUUCAGAAGGAAGCUCAAGGGAAGGAUGAAGUUUUCUUUUCUCAUUAGAUUUGCAUAAGAAACAAACACAAGGUUUGCAUAGGAAAAUUCGAACAAAAUUUUAUUUAUUUAGAUUUUUUUCUUUAUGCUUCAGACACGGCAUGGUGCACAGUCGCUCUUGGUCAUUUUGUUCUUGAGUACCGUGAGUAUUUUGAAUACCAGAUGAUGAUUUAAUUUGGUUGGUUUAAUGCACAGUUUCAGCUUUCGCCUUUUCUUUGAAAGUGUGUUCCGUGACAGCGUCUGCAGAAGGCUGUUUUCAUUACCCAGUAUCCUUCAGCCUUAGAUCUGUAUCAGUUUCCCCCUUGCUCAUAAUCCAUUACAGAACGUGGUGCAGCUUUCUGUAGCAUGGCCAAGACUCCACGAUACGUCUGUAAUUUUCCAUAAGAUUUGUACAGUAUAAAGUAAAAAAUGUUUGCUUUAAGAGACAUCUGCUAUAAAUAAAUGGACAGUGUAAAAUUUCAGGGGAGCAACACAAUUGCUUUAAAGGCUCAAAGCAUGAACCUUCUGAAGAAACUGCCGGGACCUUCUCACAUUCUAGCGGGUGAGGCGUAUUCACCUCUGGGUUUGUGAGCCUCUACCCUAAUCGCUGGUUCUCCGUCCUUGCCCUCAGCCCCAGAAACUGCAAUGAAAUUAGUCUGUAAUGCUUUCAACGCGCUUGUGGGCCGGCUUUCCUUCUCACAGAAACAUAUGAAUGGCGUUAAAACGUCCUUCCCGCUCCCACACAAUAUUGCCCCAGAAUGCCAGAGAAACAAGCCGCUUCCUUCUGAGUCCGAUAUUAUCUUUAUUGACCGGCAUUGCCAACUUGAAAAGGUCAGCCAUCCAGGUCAGGGAUAUAUAUUCUUUAAGAAGAUUCCAGAACUGCUUUUAAAAACUCAGUCCCAGGAGUGUUGCUCAGUGAGAAUUGUGGGUCUUGCAUUUCUUUCCAACUUCUCUUGCCAACAUUGUUUUUCUUUUUUCUUUUUUUUUAAUAUAGAAAAGGUAAUAGGAUUCACAAUAGGCUUUUUUUCACCCCCUGUGUCAUUUUCUCUUCUUCUAAAAUUUAAAACUUCUAAAUUUAGAAAAAAAAUCUCAAAAGGAAUUUUAAUUUCCUUCUAGGAUCUAAAAGGAAGGCUGCACACUGCUCGUCAGAAACUGGGUGGAGGGCUCGUUGAUCAGGAAUGACAGUAACGGGCUAACUCCACUCUGACAUGCAAAGGCUCAACCCAGCUGCUAGGUAGAGAGAAAUCCAGUCUCUGACCACAGACACAACCUGCUGGGAAUAAGUCAAGGACCAAUUCGUUUCUCCUGCUCACCUCAAACAGGUACUAUCUGCAGAUAGCAUAGGGAGCCCCAGUGAGCACGCUGCAGCUUCUGCCUGUCCUGACCUACACCUUCCAUUCCCGCAGCUUCUCAUGGUAACCAUGCGAGCUGGGGCAGUGCCCCUGCUUUGGUGGAACCAGCUUCUCCAUCUUCAACUUUAAAUUAAGAGGAAAGACUAUGCAGAAGAACUCUUACAAGCCUGACAAAACAUAUUGACCUAUUCCUCCGGUACCUAGUUAGUAAUUCGAUAUAUGUAUUUAUUUAAAUGAAUAGAUUUUUUUUCCCCCAGCAGUCUUAAGCUUAGGGAUAAUUUUCUUAGCAAGUAUGGAGUUCGUAUUAUGGAGCCCCAGGCUAAUAUAGUUCGCACUGUUGCUAACAUCUUUCAUUAGUGUGGCCCAUCUGUUAAACUGAUAAAGCGGUAUCUGCAUAUUACUAUUAACUUAAGAGCAUAGUUUACAGUGAGCACUUUCUUAUGGGCUGUGUAGUUCCGGGUUUUCAUAAUGUCAUGCAUAUCGAGUGUAAUGAUUUUACUCUUCUAAAAAUUAUCUACCCUUACGUCUGAAAAUGAAACUCCAAUGGCAGUGUGCUUCCCUACAAAAUGGCUCAUGGGGGGGCGGCGGGCAAAGACAGAGCAGCCUGACCAGGUAAGAAACCUGUGCCAUCAUUCUGGUGAAAUUAUGUGGGCCAGAGCGAAGGCACUGAGUAGCAGAUAUGAGACAUUUGUAACAUAUCCUGACCCAAUGUGCUAUUAUUUUGUUCAUUAAUCUAAAUUAUUCUUGCGUCCUGUUAUCAGGUAAUGAUGAUGUCAUAGUCUGGUGUUAACCAUUUCAACGAUUUUUCAGUAAAUCACGAGACCGGUAGUGGCGGUUUUUUUUUUCUUUUAAAGAAUGUAGCCUUUUCUAGCUUGAAAAAUUGGGGAAGUUUUAUUGUGAGUAGAUUUAUCUAUGGCUGAGGUAUUUCUUUUAAAUGAUUUUCUCCUAUAGAGAUAUAUUUAGCUUACUUAAAAUAUAAUUCAGUUCCAAUUUGCCAUUUUUUCUUGCCAGUGAGUCAAAGUGUCAUAGGAAAUAAAGGCAGAGACUCAUUAAAGUCCUAGGCUCUUAAAACAUUUUCUUUUCUUCCCUCAGAGCAGCAAAAUUAGGGGGAGGAGUGUGGCUACAGUGAAUGGGUGUCACUGAGAAUCAUGAAUAGGGCACCAGAUUCGGAGAUGAAGAUCGCUUUGGCUUUUGAAAUGUUAAAUUCCUUCCGGUUGUAAGUAGGAGAGACAGGGCUAACCCUGCUACUCUCAUGCUUUCCCCCAAAUUCAAAUGCUACCACCAUUGGAUUUCAGGAGAACGAGGAAGGUUUUAGAUGCACGUCCACCUGAGCAAGGAGAAUUCCAGAGGUGCAGCCAAUCUCACUCUGGCAUUAAUCAUUGAAACUCAUCUCAAUAACGAGGCAUAAAUAUGAAUACAGUGACUUAAGGGCUAUUUUAUGAAGCAUAGUCUACCUUGGGGGAUCUCUUAUAGGAAUUAGUAAUAUAAAGCAAAAUAAAACUGAGUAAGCUGAGUAAGGAGCCAGGCAGUCAACUCUACAUGUAAGUAACGUAAUGUAACAUGUCCAGGAGUUAGCUUAAAUUGUCACCUUGACACAAGCCUAGAGUCACUUUUGAAGAGAGAACAUCAAUGGAGAAACUGUCUCCUUCAAAUCGACCUGUGACGAUGUAUAUGAGGCACUUUCUUAUUUGAUAACCCACGUGGGAACCCAGGGAACCCACUGUGGGUGGUGCCACUCCCUAGGCAGAAGGACCUGCGCUGUAUAAUAAAGUUGAGCAAGCUAGGGGAAGCAAGCCUGGAAAUAGUAUUCUGCAAUGGCUGUUGUUUCACUUACCACUUCCAGGUUUUGCCUUGGUACCUGCCCGGGUUUCCUCGGAUGAUAGACAGUAACUUGUAAGGUGAAAUAACCGCUUUACUCCCGAGUUGCUUUUGGUCAUGGUGUUUCUAAUAGCAAUAGAAAGGCCACAGGUAGAUCAGGCAGGGGGCAGGAGAAGGGAUGAAGCGUGAGUAGAACAUGCUGGUGAGACAGUUUUGGGAGGAGUGAGGACCUAGAUAAGGGCAUGAUGCAGAUGAAGUAAAGAUGGUUUCCGGGUGCACAAGACGCAGGUGUGAUAACCUGCAAGAGUGAGGAGUGGGCUGGAGCGGACAACUGGGUAGGAGGUGGGGUUUCCAUAGUGUGGGGAGCAUAGGCGGCGGAAGUCUCCAAAGUGUCCCGACCUAAAACCUUACAGUGGAGAGUGGGAAGCACACAGAGCAUAGGAAGACACAGAGGGUCUAGUCAGCCCCUUCAUGAGGUAAGGAGUGGCCAGGGCUUGAGCUUCGCGGUGCUUUUCUUGUCUCAGGUGACAGUGUUUGAAGAUAGCCUGGGUGUGUGAUGAAUAGACCAGGAAGGAUUGGUACAGAAAUCACUGUGCGAGUGUUAAUGUAGAAA